Molecule: small RNA, 446 nt
Filed under: Cryptococcus neoformans H99
Lineage: Eukaryota; Fungi; Basidiomycota; Tremellomycetes; Tremellales; Cryptococcaceae
Description: Cryptococcus neoformans var. grubii H99 hypothetical RNA
Source: RNAcentral
GCUGAAGCCAACCUUGCCAACUUCUCUUCUUUGCUCAUACCACUCGUUGUACUCUUCCCAGCCCCAUGUACCUUGCCCAAACUGUCCUCGUCCUUGCACAAUUUUUCUAAUUUCCUUUCUUUCCCCCUCAUUUCUGAAACAGUUGGACCACCACUGAUCCAUGCUGUCACCUCUCAUGACACCUUGAGAGAAGUCCAGCAUACCAGCCGAAUGUUUAAGAAUACGGGUAAGACGUAGGAGGUUGUGUGAGCGAGCGCGAAGGUUUGAGACUGUAAAGUGGGUUGAGUCGUUCGUGAUGAUAACUACAAACAGAGACGCACUUCUCUCCUUGUGAUUGCUUGCAAGCUUGAGCUUACCGCCGUUGAAAUCUAUGCCGUAGAAUCCUAGCAUCUGCAUGAAGGUCAACAUAGCUCAAUUUCACCAGAUCAACUUUGACGCAAACCAUC